GUUCAUCUCUGCUGGAAUGAAACCACUGAGACUGUUGUUCAACAGAUUUAAAAAGGCUAAGAUAAGAUAAGUUUGUCAAGUUUCCAAUGGAAGGAGGAAUUUCACCAAUAAGACUAUUGUUGUACAAACAAAGCUUUUCAAGGGAACCCAACAUUCCAAUUUCUUUAGGUAUGGACCCUGAAAUUUUAUUGCUAAAAAGGCCAAGAUAA
Hibiscus syriacus is the source of this 209-nucleotide long non-coding RNA. RefSeq lists it as uncharacterized. Lineage: Eukaryota; Viridiplantae; Streptophyta; Magnoliopsida; Malvales; Malvaceae. The record is from RefSeq and is a predicted model, not a curated record. The transcript is spliced from 3 exons.